UAAGACGGAGGGCGCAAGCGUUGUUCGGAUUUACUGGGCGUAAAGGGCAGGUAGGUGGUCUGUUAAGUCUUCUGUGAAAAUCCGGGGCUCAACCCCGCGAAAUGCAGGUGAAACUGGCAGACUGGAGACCGGUAGAGGCUAGCGGAAUUCCUGGUGUAGCGGUGGAAUGCGUAGAUAUCAGGAAGAACACCUGUGGCGAAGGCGGCUAGCUGGGCCGGUUCUGACACUAAACUGCGAAAGCGUGGGGAGCAAACAGGAUUAGAUACCCUGGUAGUCCACGCCGUAAGCGAUGGGCACUAGAUGCCGGGCAUAUAGACGUGUUCGGUGUCGUCGCUAACGCAAUAAGUGCCCCGCCUGGGGAGUACGGUCGCAAGGCUG
RNAcentral lists this ribosomal RNA (378 nucleotides) under uncultured Gemmatimonadota bacterium. Its description in RNAcentral is "bacterial SSU rRNA". It matches the Rfam family "Bacterial small subunit ribosomal RNA", at positions 521 to 896 of the family's 1533-position model. Lineage: Bacteria; Pseudomonadati; Gemmatimonadota. The record is from RNAcentral.